Danio rerio (zebrafish) is the source of this 82-nucleotide non-coding RNA. The record is from Rfam. Lineage: Eukaryota; Metazoa; Chordata; Actinopteri; Cypriniformes; Danionidae.
GUAGUCGUGGCCGAGUGGUUAUGGCGAUAGACUUGAAAUCCAUUGGGCUCUCCCUGCGCAGAUUCGAAUCCUGCCGACUACG